GGCCCGGUGGCACAGCGGUAGUGCUUCUGCAUACAAUAUUGCUAAUUAAAAUGACAAAAUAGUAUGCAGACGACGUUGGUUCGGGUCCGGCCUGGGCCU
Mycena rebaudengoi is the source of this 99-nucleotide non-coding RNA. The record is from the annotation of a GenBank genome assembly. NCBI's taxonomy places the organism in Eukaryota, Fungi, Basidiomycota, Agaricomycetes, Agaricales, Mycenaceae.